AGUGAACGCUGGCGGUAGGCCUAACACAUGCAAGUCGAACGGCAGCACAGUAAGAGCUUGCUCUUACGGGUGGCGAGUUGCGGACGGGUGAGGAAUACAUCGGAAUCUACUUUUUCGUGGGGGAUAACGUAGGGAAACUUACGCUAAUACCGCAUACGACCUACGGGUGAAAGCAGGGGAUCUUCGGACCUUGCGCGAGUGAAUGAGCCGAUGUCGGAUUAGCUAGUUGGCGGGGUAAAGGCCCACCAAGGCGACGAUCCGUAGCUGGUCUGAGGGGAUGAUCAGCCACACUGGAACUGAGACACGGUCCAGACUCCUACGGGAGGCAGCAGUGGGGAAUAUUGGACAAUGGGCGCAAGCCUGAUCCAGCCAUACCGCGUGGGUGAAGAAGGCCUUCGGGUUGUAAAGCCCUUUUGUUGGGAAAGAAAAGCAGCAGGUUAAUACCCCGCUGUUCUGACGGUACCCAAAGAAUAAGCACCGGCUAACUUCGUG
RNAcentral lists this ribosomal RNA (492 nucleotides) under uncultured bacterium. RNAcentral's name for it is "partial 16S ribosomal RNA". It matches the Rfam family "Bacterial small subunit ribosomal RNA", at positions 29 to 507 of the family's 1533-position model. The record is from RNAcentral.